CCUACGGGAGGCAGCAGUGGGGAAUAUUGCACAAUGGGGGAAACCCUGAUGCAGCGACGCCGCGUGAGUGAAGAAGUAUUUCGGUAUGUAAAGCUCUAUCAGCAGGGAAGAAAAUGACGGUACCUGAUUAAGAAGCCCCGGCUAACUACGUGCCAGCAGCCGCGGUAAUACGUAGGGGGCAAGCGUUAUCCGGAUUUACUGGGUGUAAAGGGGGCGUAGACGGCAGCACAAGUCUGGAGUGAAAUGCCGGGGCUUAACCCCGGAACUGCUUUGGAAACUGUGCAGCUAGAGUGCAGGAGCGGUAAGUGGAAUUCCUAGUGUAGCGAUGAAAUGCGUAGAUAUUAGGAGGAACACCAGUGGCGAAGGCGGCUUACUGGACUGUAACUGACGUUGAGGCUCGAAAGCGUGGGGAGCAAACAGGAUUAGAUACCCCAGUAGUC
Molecule: ribosomal RNA, 440 nt
Filed under: uncultured bacterium
Lineage: Bacteria
Description: partial 16S ribosomal RNA
Rfam family: Bacterial small subunit ribosomal RNA
Source: RNAcentral